ACUCGGUUAGCUCAGUCGGUAGUAGCGACGUCUUGAUAAGGCGUAGGUCGCUGGUUCAAGUCCAGCACCGAGUACCA
This 77-nucleotide transfer RNA is filed under the name Burkholderia ubonensis. Its description in RNAcentral is "tRNA-Ile". It matches the Rfam family "tRNA". Rfam says of the family: Transfer RNA (tRNA) molecules are approximately 80 nucleotides in length. The record is from RNAcentral. Lineage: Bacteria; Pseudomonadati; Pseudomonadota; Betaproteobacteria; Burkholderiales; Burkholderiaceae.